RNAcentral lists this long non-coding RNA (209 nucleotides) under Helianthus annuus (common sunflower). RNAcentral's name for it is "sRNA HanXRQr2_Chr12g0521611". The record is from RNAcentral. Lineage: Eukaryota; Viridiplantae; Streptophyta; Magnoliopsida; Asterales; Asteraceae.
UCACCCUCACCACCUGCAACUCACAUAUCAGACCUCUCAUCUUCUUCAAUCUUCUAUUUGUGUUGUAAACAACUCUCACAUAUUCACUUUGUUGUGUUUUUUUUUAUUACGGUUUAGAUUUGAUUCCAAUGGCAAGGAUGACCUCUGUUGGUUCAAUUCGAUGAUGCUGUGACUGCAAAUAUUGGUGGUGUCGGCAGGAUCAGAAGCAG